CCCCUUCUUUGCGAUUAACAAUGAAAGCUCAUAAGAAACUUGGGUACUUGUUAUGUUUUGUUUUGAAGAUUUUUCCAUGACUGAUUUAGUCAUAGAAAGAUUUUUUUUCUUGAUUUGAAAAAAAUCGAGAGAUUUUCCUACAUAUUCAGGAUGUUUAGUUGAUAGAUGCCUUUCAAGUUUUGAAAAUUUCAUACAUUCGUUGGAUAGCGUUUAGAAACAAAUCACACACUGCGGCAUAGGCUCCUCCUCAGUACCAAAAAAUACAAACCCGAUUUUUAAAAAGUCAGGGUCAUACUUACGAAAAUAUAUUUUAGUUUUCUUUGUUAUAUUCAAACUUGACACAUCAACAAUCUCACUACUAGUAGUUCCACUACUACUAGUUCCUUCAUCAUUUGACAGCUUCGUCUUACGACAAGAUCCAGUUCGAAACCAAGUAUCCAUAUUUACGUGUAGCGUAAUUAAUAAUAUGUACUAUGACACUAUGUAGUAUUAUAUGUAGUAACUCACAGCAGACACAACGACGCAUAAACACACAACCACUGUCGCAAAAUAACUAGUUUACCAAUUUACG
Molecule: non-coding RNA, 571 nt
Organism: Cinara cedri
Lineage: Eukaryota; Metazoa; Arthropoda; Insecta; Hemiptera; Aphididae
Source: the annotation of a GenBank genome assembly